RNAcentral lists this ribosomal RNA (921 nucleotides) under uncultured bacterium. RNAcentral describes it as "bacterial SSU rRNA". It matches the Rfam family "Bacterial small subunit ribosomal RNA", at positions 8 to 916 of the family's 1533-position model. The record is from RNAcentral.
AGAGUUUGAUCAUGGCUCAGAUUGAACGCUGGCGGCAUGCCUAACACAUGCAAGUCGAACGGCAGCAUGCCCUGUGGCAACACAGGGUGAUGGCGAGUGGCGGACGGGUGAGUAACGCGUAGGAAUCUGCCCUAAAGUGGGGGAUAACUCAGCGAAAGCUGAGCUAAUACCGCAUAAUCUCUACGGAGUAAAGCAGGGGAUCUUCGGACCUUGUGCUUUAGGAUGAGCCUGCGUCAGAUUAGCUAGUUGGUAGGGUAAAGGCCUACCAAGGCAACGAUCUGUAAUUGGUCUGAGAGGACGACCAGUCACAUUGGGACUGAGACACGGCCCAAACUCCUACGGGAGGCAGCAGUGGGGAAUAUUGGACAAUGGGGGAAACCCUGAUCCAGCGAUGCCGCGUGUGUGAAGAAGGCCUGCGGGUUGUAAAGCACUUUCGGUGGGGAAGAAAGGCUCAAGGCUAAUAUCCUUGAGAGUUGACGUUACCCAUAGAAGAAGCACCGGCUAACUCUGUGCCAGCAGCCGCGGUAAUACAGAGGGUGCAAGCGUUAAUCGGAGUUAUUGGGCGUAAAGCGUGCGUAGGCGGAUGUCUAAGUCGGAUGUGAAAUCCCCGGGCUUAACCUGGGAAUUGCAUUCGAUACUGGAUGUCUAGAGUAUGGUAGAGGAAAGUGGAAUUUCCGGUGUAGCGGUGUAAUGCGUAGAUAUCGGAAAGAACAUCGGUGGCGAAGGCGACUUUCUGGACCAAUACUGACGCUGAGGUACGAAAGCGUGGGGAGCAAACAGGAUUAGAGACCCUGGUAGUCCACGCUGUAAACGAUGAGAACUAGAUGUUGGUCCCUUUAGGGGAUUAGUAUCGAAGCUAACGCGUUAAGUUCUCCGCCUGGGGAGUACGGUCGCAAGAUUAAAACUCAAAUGAAUUGACGG